RNAcentral lists this ribosomal RNA (481 nucleotides) under uncultured bacterium. RNAcentral's name for it is "partial 16S ribosomal RNA". It matches the Rfam family "Bacterial small subunit ribosomal RNA", at positions 29 to 523 of the family's 1533-position model. The record is from RNAcentral.
AAUGAACGUUGGCGGCGUGGAUUAGGCAUGCAAGUCGAGCGAGAAGUUCCUUCGGGGACGGACAGCGGCGAAAGGGAGAGGAAUACGUAGAAAUCUACCCCUGAGACUGGGAUAGCGUCGGGAAACUGACAGUAAUACCAGAUAACGUCUUAGGACCAAAGGUGUGAUUCCGCUUGGGGAUGAGUCUACGCCCUAUUAGCUAGUUGGUGGGGUAAUGGCCUACCAAGGCGAUGAUGGGUAGCGGGUGUGAGAGCAUGAUCCGCCUCACUGGGACUGAGAACUGCCCAGACAUCUACGGAUGGCUGCAGUCGAGAAUCUUUGUCAAUGGACGAAAGUCUGAACAAGCGACGCCGCGUGCGGGAUGAAGGCCUUCGGGUUGUAAACCGCUGUCGUAGGGGAACAAAUGUACGGGGGUUCUCCCCUGUAUUUGAGUGAUCCUAGGAGGAAGGAGAGGCUAAGCUCGUGCCAGCAGCCGCCGCGG